UGAUGAUAUAGCUCCUCUCAUCCUCUUUGAACCCAACCCAGUGUGACAGCUAGAAUGAAAUCUGAAACUCCAGAUGUAGCCUGGCCAGAUGUGGCCAUGGGACUCUCAACCUCCAGGUCCUGGAUCCCCCACUGCCUGGAACACAGGCUGAAAUGGCACUCUUUCCCAGCAGCCAAGUCCCAUCCAUUGUCCCACACUGACCUGCCACCAACUAAGAUUUUUUAUUAUUCUAGUGAGAAUUUCCUUUCUGACAGCUUCCCUCCUACUGCUAAAAUUUUUUGAAAACCCUAUGCAUGGCCAUGUAUUUCUUUUAGGGUUCUCUAGCUGCAUUCCAGAUAGCCACCGUCUUUCUGAAUCUAGAUCCUGACUCACUAGUCCUUCCAUGUUCAAUCAUCUGGUCUUCUUUCUCUCCGUCUUUGAUACAAGUUGUUGGAAAGAAUGGGGUCAGGAAGCACACUCCAUGGCUCAAC
This 470-nucleotide long non-coding RNA is filed under the name Marmota monax (woodchuck). Lineage: Eukaryota; Metazoa; Chordata; Mammalia; Rodentia; Sciuridae. The record is from RNAcentral.